UCCAGAGGGGGCAAGCGUUAUUCGGAAUUAUUGGGCGUAAAGGGCGCGUAGGCGGCUUGGCAAGUGGAUGGUGAAAUCCCUCGGCUUAACCGAGGAACUGCCGUCCAAACUGCUUGGCUUGAGACCGGGAGAGGUGAGUGGAAUUCCCAGUGUAGCGGUGAAAUGCGUAGAUAUUGGGAGGAACACCAGUGGCGAAGGCGGCUCACUGGACCGGUACUGACGCUGAUGCGCGAAAGCGUGGGGAGCAAACGGG
This 253-nucleotide ribosomal RNA is filed under the name uncultured bacterium. RNAcentral describes it as "partial 16S ribosomal RNA". It matches the Rfam family "Bacterial small subunit ribosomal RNA", at positions 524 to 776 of the family's 1533-position model. The record is from RNAcentral.